Molecule: ribosomal RNA, 447 nt
Filed under: uncultured bacterium
Lineage: Bacteria
Description: bacterial SSU rRNA
Rfam family: Bacterial small subunit ribosomal RNA
Source: RNAcentral
UCGGGAAUUUUGGGCAAUGGGCGAAAGCCUGACCCAGCAACGCCGCGUGAAGGAUGAAGUAUUUCGGUAUGUAAACUUCGAAAGAAUAGGAAGAAUAAAUGACGGUACUAUUUAUAAGCCCCGGCAAACUUCGUGCCAGCAGCCGCGGUAAUACGAAGGGGGCUAGCGUUGUUCGGAAUUACUGGGCGUAAAGCGCACGUAGGCGGAUUGUUAAGUCAGAGGUGAAAUCCCGGAGCUCAACUUCGGAACUGCCUUUGAUACUGGCAAUCUAGAGUCCGGAAGAGGUUAGUGGAAUUCCCUGUGUAGCGGUGAAAUGCGUAGAUAUCGGAAGGAACAUCAGUUGCGAAGGCGGCUCUCUGGACUCAAACUGACGCUGAGGCACGAAAGCGUGGGUAGCGAACAGGAUUAGAUACCCCAGUAGUCCCUGAGCGGGCUGGCAAGGCGCAU